GCUGGGUGUGGUGGUGUGCACCUGUAGUCCCAGCUACUUGGGAGGCUGAGGAGGGAGGAUCACUUGAGCCCAGGAGGUCGAGGGUGCAGUGAGCAGUGAUAGCACCACUGCAUUCCAGCCUGGGUGACAGAAUGAGACCCUGUCUCAA
This 148-nucleotide small RNA is filed under the name Pongo abelii (Sumatran orangutan). RNAcentral describes it as "Metazoan signal recognition particle RNA (ENSPPYG00000037809.1)". The record is from Rfam by way of RNAcentral. Lineage: Eukaryota; Metazoa; Chordata; Mammalia; Primates; Hominidae.